GAGGGUAUAGCCCAAGUGGUAGAGCACAUGCUUAGCAUGCACGAGGUCCUGGGUUCAAUCCCCAGUACUGCCU
RNAcentral lists this transfer RNA (73 nucleotides) under Camelus bactrianus (Bactrian camel). It matches the Rfam family "tRNA". From Rfam's summary of the family: Transfer RNA (tRNA) molecules are approximately 80 nucleotides in length. RNAcentral also lists the same sequence under 2 other names. Lineage: Eukaryota; Metazoa; Chordata; Mammalia; Artiodactyla; Camelidae. The record is from Rfam by way of RNAcentral.